This 89-nucleotide transfer RNA is filed under the name Flavimobilis marinus. Its description in RNAcentral is "tRNA-Ser". The record is from RNAcentral. Lineage: Bacteria; Bacillati; Actinomycetota; Actinomycetes; Micrococcales; Jonesiaceae.
GCCGGUCGUCGCGAGGAUCGCGCUCCGGCUGCUCGAGUCGGUCGCGGGUGAGGCGACCGACGCCGACGGUCUGAUCGUCACGACCGCCG